Plectropomus leopardus (leopard coralgrouper) is the source of this 1123-nucleotide non-coding RNA. The record is from RefSeq and is a predicted model, not a curated record. Lineage: Eukaryota; Metazoa; Chordata; Actinopteri; Perciformes; Serranidae.
ACGUUUUAUUUCUCCUCUCCAGGAUUUACGAGAAUCUUCCGGAGGUGCAGCGGAGGAGAGACGAGGAAAGACGGAGAGCAGAGUAUCGAUCUUACCGGCUGAACGCUCAACUCUACAACAAGAGGAUCACGAGCCGAGUCCUGAGCCGGAGAACAGCGUGGCAGUGAUCGAACCAACCAAACUUUGUUCCUGUUCAUUAAAUCAGUGAAGAUAAAACAUUUUUUACAGUUUUAUUGACAUUAAGAACAAAAACCACCUAACUAAAAUGAGCUUUUAUUUAUUUUCUACCACGUUUUUUAAUUAUUUUAAAUAUUAUGUGUAAAAAGUCAAAAUUUCACUUUUUAGAUGGAUAUUUUGUUUUUUGUACUUGCAGAGCACUGAAAUGUUUGAACUGGUAAAAAAUAAACCGGAUUCUUUAUAAAUUUUGCUAAAUUCAGUUUUGAUUGAAGACAGCGAAGACGAAGCAGCUUUAAUGUCUUUAUUGAUCAGUUGUGCGCGAGCAGGAAGCCACACGAGUAAAGAUAGACGAGUUAGACGAGCUGCAGAUUCAGAGCCGCAGCUGCACACAAAAACAACAUCAUGAAUAAAUAACACGUCUCCUCCUAAAACCACAGCUACGUCGAUGCACUACGCCCAUUCAUUAAAUUCAUCAUAAAAUAAAACUUCAAGUCAUGACCAUACUGUAAACAUAAAUACUCUAGCAAAUCACUGAAUGAAAUCAUUAGCACGGAUUAAUGAACUAAAAGCCUUUUGAAUGAAAUCAGCGGCAAACGUGGUGACGAGGAACAAAGAAUCUUUGGCAAAGAUGUUAACGAGGUUUGGUCUAACGAAUCGAAACAUAAGGCAGGCGACCGCUCUUCAACCACGAGGCUCUCUGCAGCUUUAAGGCUCGGACACAGUUUGAAACAGCACAACAAACUUAACACGUUUCAGGAUUUUUGAUACUUUUUCGACAUUUACACCGAGCAUGUAAAAGCUGUACUGGAACUCGCACCACGUGUGAAAUAAAUACUAAAUAAUUAAAUCAUUUAAUGCUUCAUCUGAGUCUUUAAAUAAACAUUAAAAAUAAGAAAUCCCUCGAGGUUAAUCACCUUCUCGUCUGUGCAGUCCGCAAAGUUUUAAU